GAACAAAAGUUAGCCUAUAAUCGCC
RNAcentral lists this non-coding RNA (25 nucleotides) under Arabidopsis thaliana (thale cress). Lineage: Eukaryota; Viridiplantae; Streptophyta; Magnoliopsida; Brassicales; Brassicaceae. The record is from RNAcentral.